UUUCCGUAGGUGAACCCGCGGAAGGAUCAUUAAUGAGUUGUCAUGGGGUUCGAUGCUGGCAGCCAGUUUUUGGAUGCAUGUGCUUGCCCUAACAAUCAUCUUCUUCCAAACACCUGUGCACAUUUUUGAGGGAGUCUUGAGUUGGUUGCCGCUCUUGGGUGAUUUUCUCACAUUCCCUUAAAUCAUUAUACGCUAUUAACAAUGUUGAACGUGCUCUGUGCCGCAAGGCCAUUAAUAUAAUACAACUUUUAACAACGGAUCUCUUGGCUCUU
This 272-nucleotide unclassified non-coding RNA is filed under the name plant metagenome. RNAcentral describes it as "partial contains small subunit ribosomal RNA, internal transcribed spacer 1, and 5.8S ribosomal RNA". The record is from RNAcentral.